This 497-nucleotide ribosomal RNA is filed under the name uncultured bacterium. RNAcentral describes it as "partial 16S ribosomal RNA". It matches the Rfam family "Bacterial small subunit ribosomal RNA", at positions 28 to 507 of the family's 1533-position model. The record is from RNAcentral.
GACGAACGCUGGCGGCGUGCCUAAUACAUGCAAGUUGAGCGCUGAAGGUUGGUACUUGUACCAACUGGAUGAGCAGCGAACGGGUGAGUAACGCGUGGGGAAUCUGCCUUUGAGCGGGGGACAACAUUUGGAAACGAAUGCUAAUACCGCAUAAAAACUUUAAACACAAGUUUUAAGUUUGAAAGAUGCAAUUGCAUCACUCAAAGAUGAUCCCGCGUUGUAUUAGCUAGUUGGUGAGGUAAAGGCUCACCAAGGCGAUGAUACAUAGCCGACCUGAGAGGGUGAUCGGACACAUUGGGACUGAGACACGGCCCAAACUCCUACGGGAGGCAGCAGUAGGGAAUCUUCGGCAAUAGACGAAAGUCUGACCGAGCAACGCCGCGUGAGUGAAGAAGGUUUUCGGAUCGUAAAACUCUGUUGGUAGAGAAGAACGUUGGUGAGAGUGGAAAGCUCAUCAAGUGACGGUAACUACCCAGAAAGGGACGGCUAACUACGUG